GGGAGAUCCAUAUUUUCAAUUUAUACACAUGAAUAGUACAUUAUCAAAGUUUUUCAAUGGUAUUUCUAACUUUUCACGAAAGGCAAGCAAUUUAGCCUGCAAAAUUCAACCACACCAGUCUUUGAAACCUGCUCUGCAAGUAAAAGGUCAGGUCAGGUCAGCUACUCUCUACUUCUCUAGCUAUCUAACCAAGCUUUUUUGAAGACAAAUAGAAAGCAUUAAAGAAUUCUUUGGUUUUAAGGCUGCAGCAUGUACAAGAAAAUGCCACCCGCAACAGCUACAUUAAGAGACUCAUAGUUUCUUGCCAUGGGUAUGCUCACAAGCUCGCAUUCUUGUAGAGACUGCUCUGAAAGGCCAUGCCCUUCACUGCCCAAAACCAAGCAUAAUGGAACAUCAGCUAAAGAAUCUGCAAGCCCUUGAGAUAACUGCGACACUGGUUUCAGUUCAUCAUUACUUGCUGGGUGGCCAGCAAGCAAUUUCAUUUGGAAUUCAUGUUUGAGAGCUUCAAGGUGUUGCCAACUGCCUGCAACUAUAGGGACCUGAAAGGAGGCUCCUCGACUAGCUUUGAGUGCUUUGUCAUUGAAUGGAUCACAACAGCCGGGAAGUAGGAAAAUACCACCCCAUCUAAAUGCCACAGCUGAUCUGAGCAAUGUUCCCAGGUUACCUGGAUCCUGGAUCCCCUCGAGGACUAGAAUUCGAUGUGGAGCUGGGAACCAUUUCCGACAAUCUGCAUCUUUUUGAUGAUUACCUACAACAAAGUAGCUCGUAGGAAAUCGCAUCAGGGCAAUUGCUUCAAUAGAUUCAGUAGAUUGCAACUGUGAAAGUUUUUUCAUCACCAAAGCGCUCACACGCAAAGUGGGAGUAGAGUUGUUGAAUCCUUCAGGGAUCUUAGCCUUAUCAAGAAGAAUUAGACACUCCAUUUCAACAGUCCUCUCUUCUGAUGACUUCUGAAAUUCGUAUAUCUCCCUGAUAGGGGUAGUACCUACAACAAGAGCUGAACCAUGGAAGUGGCGAUAAGAGGAGCUGUGACGGAGCUUGACGCAGUGCUUCACAAACGGAUUUGAAGUACUUGUUAUGGAUUUUACAUGGGCUGGUAAUGUAAACUUCACCUCUGCGGAAUUAUCGAUAUCCCCAUCACUAUUGUAAUAACGAUAUUGAGAGAUUUUUUGGGUUUGGGUUUGAGGUUGAUUUGGUGAAGCAGUGGAUAGCCUGGGCUUUGAAUUAGAGCGGUUCAGAUGUGGAGGAGAAACUGCAGGAGCCCUGUAUGCGUAUGUGCUCUGCAUUUCUUCUUCUUUUGUCCCACAAGUCUAUGAAUAAUCACAUCACAGGUAGAACUAGAUAGUUUUCGCCACUGGGGUUCCGUAAGGAUCUCUAGAAGGAUAUUUUUGCGUUGCUUCUG
RNAcentral lists this unclassified non-coding RNA (1399 nucleotides) under Hevea brasiliensis (rubber tree). Lineage: Eukaryota; Viridiplantae; Streptophyta; Magnoliopsida; Malpighiales; Euphorbiaceae. The record is from RNAcentral.